CUACGGGAUGCAGCAGUGGGGAAUAUUGGACAAUGGGGGAAACCCUGAUCCAGCAAUGCCGCGUGUGUGAAGAAGGCCUGCGGGUUGUAAAGCACUUUCGGUUGGGAGGACUGCUUCUAGCACUAAUAUUGUUGGAAGUUGACGUUACCUUCAGAAGAAGCACCGGCUAACUCCGUGCCAGCAGCCGCGGUAGUACGGAGGGUGCAAGCGUUAAUCGGAAUUACUGGGCGUAAAGCGCGCGUAGGCGGCUAGAUCAGUCGGGUGUGAAAGCCCCGGGCUUAACCUGGGAACUGCAUCCGAUACUGUCUAGCUUGAGUGCAGGAGAGGAGAGUGGAAUUCCACAUGUAGCGGUGAAAUGCGUAGAUAUGUGGAGGAACACCAAUGGCGAAGGCAGCUCUCUGGCCUGAUACUGACGCUGAGGUGCGAAAGCGUGGGGAGCAAACAGGAUUAGAUACCCUCGUAGUC
This 465-nucleotide ribosomal RNA is filed under the name uncultured bacterium. RNAcentral describes it as "partial 16S ribosomal RNA". It matches the Rfam family "Bacterial small subunit ribosomal RNA", at positions 339 to 795 of the family's 1533-position model. The record is from RNAcentral.